AUGCUUUCUCAGUCUCUGCUCGCGCUUGGUUUGCUCCUCCUGCUGAGCCUGAGCCUCGACGGAGAGGUGGCUCUAGCGGCGGAAGACGGCGAGUUCGCCUACCAAGGAUUCGCCACGGCGAACCUUACGCUGGAUGGCCUCGCCACCGUCAUGCCCAACGGCCUCCUGCUGCUCACCGACACGGAGUCCUCGAACACGGGCCAUGCCUUCCACCCCGCGCCACUCCAGUUCCUCCUCGAAAGUUCCACCACGACGACGAGCAGCACCACCAUGGCGCGGUCCUUCUCCACGACCUUCGUGUUUGCCAUUUCGUCCAGGUACGAUGGCCUGACCAGCUACGGGCUUGCGUUCGUGGUCGCUCCGACCUCGAACCUCUCGACUGCGAACGGCGGGCGGUACAUGGGCCUCCUCAACGCGACAAACGGCACGGCGAGCCACCGCAUCCUGGCGGUCGAGCUCGACACCAUCAUGGACGUCGCGUUCCGCGACAUCGACAGCAACCACGUCGGCAUCGACGUCAACAGCCUAGUCUCACGGCAGGCCAAGCCGGCUGGGUACUACAGCAACGAGAACGGCGCCUUCCAAGAUCUGAGGUUGAACAGCCGCAAACCGAUGCAGGUGUGGGUGGACUAUGACGCCCAAGCCAGGCGAAUCAAUGUGACAUUAGCACCUGUGCAGGUACCAAAGCCCAGGAAUCCUCUACUCUCCGAGGUUAUUGAUCUCUCCACGGUCAUGGUGGACGAAAUGUACGUCGGCUUUUCUGCUUCUAGCGGUACUCCCGGUGACAAUCACCACUCUGUCCUUGGAUGGAGUUUCAGCUUCGACGGACCUGCCCCGGCGCUAGACUUCUUCAAGCUUCCCGCCCUGCCACGCCUAGGUCCCAAGCCUCGGUCCAAGAUCUUGGACGUCGUGUUGCCACCGGCCACGGUAUCGCUUGUCAUUGCCGUGCUAGCUGCCGUCUUCUUCUUCUUGUGGCAUCGGCGCCGAUUUGCCGAGGUGAGAGAAGAUUGGGAGGAUGAGUUCGGCCCACACCGUUUCGCAUACAAGGAUUUAUUUCAUGCCACUGAGGGGUUUUCGGGUAGGAAUUUACUUGGAGUAGGAGGAUUUGGAAGAGUGUACAGAGGAUUGCUUUCUGCGUUCAAUUUGGAGGUUGCGGUGAAGAGGGUGUCACAUGAUUCUAAACAAGGACUAAGGGAGUUCAUUGCGGAGGUGGUGAGCAUUGGCCGUCUCCAACACCGGAAUCUCGCACGGUUACUAGGCUACUGCCGUCGGAAGGGUGAACUUCUCUUGGUUUAUGAGUACAUGGAAAAUGGUAGUCUUGACAAGUACUUACAUACUCAAAAUAAGCCAGCUCUACAUUGGCCUGAGAGGUUUCGGAUCAUCAAAGGUGUCGCAUCAAGCUUGUUGUAUCUUCAUGAGGAAUGGGAGCAAAUUGUCAUCCAUCGAGAUAUAAAGGCUAGCAAUGUGCUCUUGGACAGUCAGAUGAAUGGACGGCUCGGUGAUUUUGGUCUAGCAAGGUUAUACGACCAUGGCACAGUUUCUAAAACAACACAUGUGGUGGGCACCAUGGGGUACCUUGCACCGGAACUUAUACGCACCGGGAAGGCAACACCCUUAACCGAUGUGUUCGCAUUUGGUGUGUUUAUCCUUGAGGUCGCAUGUGGGCCUAGACCAAUCAACAGUAGCAAGGAUAUCACAGAGUUAGUGUUGGUCGAUUGGGUGCUUGAACAUCACCACAACGGCUCAAUUCUCGACGUGGUCGAUCCACGUCUUAUGGGGAAUUUCAACACAGAGGAAGCCACCCUCCUGCUCAAAUUAGGUUUGUUAUGCUCCUACCCAUCGGCCAAUGCAAGACCUAGCAUGCGAAAGGUCAUGCAAUACCUGAACCGCGACCAGUCAAUUCCUGACCUGUCCGCCUACAUGAGUUACAACAGGAUAGCAAUGAUGCAGAAUGAAGGGUUCGAUUCAUACGUAAUGUCGUACCCUUCAUCGAAUACGAAUAUUUGUGUUGUAUCUGGUGAGUCUUCGGUGUCGAUUCUUGAAGAGGGAAGGUGA
Molecule: ribosomal RNA, 2055 nt
Filed under: Triticum aestivum (bread wheat)
Lineage: Eukaryota; Viridiplantae; Streptophyta; Magnoliopsida; Poales; Poaceae
Description: partial small subunit ribosomal RNA
Source: RNAcentral